Non-coding RNA from Phrynosoma platyrhinos (Desert horned lizard), 72 nucleotides. Lineage: Eukaryota; Metazoa; Chordata; Lepidosauria; Squamata; Phrynosomatidae. The record is from the annotation of a GenBank genome assembly.
GCAAGUGUGGUAUAGUGGUUUGACCACUGGACUACAAUUCUUGAGACCAGGGUUCAAAUCCCCACUCAACCA